RNAcentral lists this non-coding RNA (148 nucleotides) under Homo sapiens (human). The record is from Rfam by way of RNAcentral. Lineage: Eukaryota; Metazoa; Chordata; Mammalia; Primates; Hominidae.
GCUGGGCGUGGUGAUGCAUGUCUGUAGUCCCAGCUACUCAGGAGGCUGAGGCAGGAGGAUUGCUUGAGCCCAGGAGGCAGAGGCUGCAGUGAGCUGAGAUUGCGCCACUGCACUCCAGCCUGGGCAACAUAGGGAGAUCCUGUCUCAA